RNAcentral lists this ribosomal RNA (250 nucleotides) under uncultured bacterium. RNAcentral describes it as "partial 16S ribosomal RNA". It matches the Rfam family "Bacterial small subunit ribosomal RNA", at positions 524 to 773 of the family's 1533-position model. The record is from RNAcentral. RNAcentral also lists the same sequence under 1 other name.
UACGGGGGGUGCAAGCGUUGUUCGGAAUCAUUGGGCGUAAAGAGCGUGUAGGCGGCCGCGUAUGUCAGAUGUGAAAGUCCUGGGCUCAACCUGGGAAGUGCACUUGAAACUGCGUGGCUAGAGUAAGGGAGAGGAAAGUGGAAUUCCUGGUGUAGAGGUGAAAUUCGCAGAUAUCAGGAGGAACACCUGUGGCGAAGGCGGCCUUCUGGCCCUAUACUGACGCUGAGACGCGGAAGCGUGGGUAGCAGAC